CUANACNUGCAGUCGACGCGUUGGCCCAAUUGAUUGAUGGUGCUUGCACCUGAUUGAUUUUGGUCGCCAACGAGUGGCGGACGGGUGAGUAACACGUAGGUAACCUGCCCAGAAGCGGGGGACAACAUUUGGAAACAGAUGCUAAUACCGCAUAACAACGUUGUUCGCAUGAACAACGCUUAAAAGAUGGCUUCUCGCUAUCACUUCUGGAUGGACCUGCGGUGCAUUAGCUUGUUGGUGGGGUAAUGGCCUACCAAGGCGAUGAUGCAUAGCCGAGUUGAGAGACUGAUCGGCCACAAUGGGACUGAGACACGGCCCAUACUCCUACGGGAGGCAGCAGUAGGGAAUCUUCCACAAUGGGCGCAAGCCUGAUGGAGCAACACCGCGUGAGUGAAGAAGGGUUUCGGCUCGUAAAGCUCUGUUGUUAAAGAAGAACACGUAUGAGAGUAACUGUUCAUACGUUGACGGUAUUUAACCAGAAAGUCACGGCUAACUACGUGCCAGCAGCNGNCGGU
Molecule: ribosomal RNA, 515 nt
Filed under: Limosilactobacillus fermentum
Lineage: Bacteria; Bacillati; Bacillota; Bacilli; Lactobacillales; Lactobacillaceae
Description: bacterial SSU rRNA
Rfam family: Bacterial small subunit ribosomal RNA
Source: RNAcentral